This is a long non-coding RNA of Triticum dicoccoides, 1415 nucleotides long. RefSeq lists it as uncharacterized. The record is from RefSeq and is a predicted model, not a curated record. Lineage: Eukaryota; Viridiplantae; Streptophyta; Magnoliopsida; Poales; Poaceae. The transcript has 5 exons.
ACAAUGCUGUCUAUAGAGGAGAAGGGGUCUGUUGGGGAGGGAUUUGGUUUGCGCCGGGCUGGGGUUUGCUGCGGCUUGCUGCAGCGUGGCCGGUGGGUGCGAGAGUGCGCGACUUGUCUGUCCGGGUGGUCUCUGUCGCUGCUGGCUGCGGUUCACUUAUCCGCCGCUGCUGUAUGGUGAUGUUGUGGCAUUCAUUGGGAUGUUUCAAUUUGGUCAGUAGGCCAUUGUUGUUGGUCAGAGGAAGGAGCGGUGGUCUUCAUCUGGCCCAACCCGGUGUGCGCGGCGUGGCGGCUCUGUACAAAGGGAGAGACGAUUUGGGGACGGCGUGGCGCUUCUUCGGCUUCGCUCGGUGGCUAUCUUCCAUGUGUCCUGAUGGAUCCGCUCAUAACAAUUCUGUUGAAACUAUCCAUGAGCGAAUGUUUAUGCCAUCAAUGUUGACCAUUAUAUCAGAGAAUUUAAAGUAGGUAAUAUCCUAUCAUGUUUAAAUAAAUUCUCAUCUUAUUUAUUUCAAGGACUUGAGUGUUGUUACAGAAUACAUAUUAGCGGAUCUCGGUUUCUUAGGGUGAUGCCUCCUGCACCAACUGACACACUGUUGACAGCAUAAAAAAAGAUGCUUGAACUAAAACUAAAUUCAAUACUUGUUGCAAUUCAAGAGGAGCAUGGGGAAAUAUGAUGUGACAUGCAUCCACUACAUGUUUGGUAAUGACGUGAUGUUGAGGCGGCUAGGAGAAGCUCAACAGCCAGAUCAAGGGCUAUCGAGAUGGAUCUGGGAGCCAAGCAGUAGUUCUUCUGUUAAAUUUUGGUUAUUAUCUUUUCUAUUGUUACGAUUGUGGGAUGGUUGAUUUUGACUCGGUGUAACAUUUGCAUUUGUUUCCCAGCUUGUUGGCAUAGAUGUGUGGCACUGCGGCAACUAAUCAAGAGCGAGGGCAGUGCACAUCAGAGCUACGCUGAAUGUAGCGAGCCAACCACGAAUUGGGAUGAAAGUAGCGCCAGCAGAAUCAGUAGGUUGGAUGGGAAGGCGGUUGUUGCCCUUGUCCCUUGGUGCUAGCCUACCGUGGUGGCCUCACUAACUUGCUCAUUGCGAAUACGAGUUUGUGGGGUCGCGAGUUGCUGCAGAUUUGUUUUUAUCACUUUUUACAAUAUUUAUUGAUGUAUCCCUAACUCAUCGAGUCAUUUUUAGCUUUGAUUUCCCAUAUACGCCAGCCUAAAUAUCCGUCAGAAUAUUUGCAUGGUUAGUGGACAUUGUCCCUUUCUUUCUAAUGUUUAAUAUUUUAUAUUGCCGAUAGAAAUAAUUUUAUCCGCUUGAUUUAGGAAGUGCACAUAGGUAGGUCAACAUAUUUUGUAGCUCUUUCGGAUGUAAAAGCAUAUGUUGCAUAAGAAAUUAUUAUCUUCCAAGCAUACUCACAUUUCACUAA